CUGUCUGUAAAUCUGAUCCCAGGAUUUUUCAGAUUAAAGAGGCAAACAAUUGAAGAACAGAGGUUAAACCCUGAUUUAAACCAUACAGGCAGAGGACCGCCAUAUUUUUAUCCGGACUUUCCCAGACCAGACCCGUGUGGAGACAGCACAUAGCAUGUGCACGGUGAGCUCAAUCCUUCUGGGAAGCACUGGGCUUGCUGUGCAUACAUUGCACACUUUGUACAGCGGAUUUGGUUUUGAGACAUUAUGGAGCAGAUACACAUUAGCUGCAUAUUUCCAGGAAAUGCUGCACAUUGUGCUGUGUUAUUGACCUGCGCAAGCACUAAGGAAAGGAACAAGAUGGAUGCGGCAGCCUGGCUGGAAGUACUGUAGGUGCAACUGCAUCCCUGGAAAUCCCCGCAAAUGCAAGUGCUCCCGAUUCUGGCAAAUACAGGAAUAUGGUCAAAGCAACUCAGAGCUGUGCUGUUUCUUUGCAAAUUCUGUAUACAGAGAAGAAUGAUCAUACAGUUCCUCAGAGGUGCCUUGUGGUAACUGAGGUGUCUCAAUGUGCCCCUCAUGUCAAGAUAAUACAGUGUGGAUUACCUGCUUUGGGGCUUUGAUGGACACAUAUCCACCAGAAAGCUAAAUUGAGCGACAACCUUAAAAGCCAGAAACCUGUGUUUGAUUUACAUCAGUGGAAGUUCUGUACAGAGUAAUUGCUCACAUUUGAACCGUCUUCUCCAGAAGUGGAAAUUUCAAGGGCUCAAUUAAUUUUCAAUGAGCAAUUAAUUUUAUUGUUCAAUUAAUCCAUAUCCUUUGACAACAGCUUAAAAUUUCUUUUCAUAUUUCUACAGAUGCACUGUACCUCUGACUUCCGAACUCCCUCUGGGAGCUUUGGCCUUUAGUGCGAGGCCUUGACUCCUCCGUUUUUGCAGGGAAAAGUCCAGUGGCUUUGCAAGGAAGAGUCCUGCUAUUGCAAGACUUGGCUCUCUGCAAGUCUAAAAGAAGUUCAAAUUGCCAUUAACGUGUUAUUUAAUGAGGACAGCUUUUUAGGAGAUAGCAUUUACCAGUGAAGUGGAAAGUUGUAUGUAUGUUCUCAAAGUAGACUGGAAAAGCAAGUAUUGACAUAUCCUGUUUAAACCACAAUAAUGUGUGUUUCUUUGUAUUGGAAUAGAGUUUUAACCCAGCGUCUUUUACUGCCAGUUACUGGAAUG
RNAcentral lists this long non-coding RNA (1193 nucleotides) under Apteryx rowi (Okarito brown kiwi). Its description in RNAcentral is "lncRNA (ENSARWG00000008849.1)". The record is from RNAcentral. Lineage: Eukaryota; Metazoa; Chordata; Aves; Apterygiformes; Apterygidae.